UACGUAGGGUGCGAGCGUUAAUCGGAAUUACUGGGCGUAAAGCGUGCGCAGGCGGUUUUGUAAGCCAGGUGUGAAAUCCCCGGGCUUAACCUGGGAAUGGCAUUUGGGACUGCAAGGCUGGAGUGCGGCAGAGGAGACUGGAAUUCCUGGUGUAGCAGUGAAAUGCGUAGAUAUCAGGAGGAACACCGAUGGCGAAGGCAGGUCUCUGGGCUGACACUGACGCUCAUGCACGAAAGCGUGGGGAGCAAACAGG
This 253-nucleotide ribosomal RNA is filed under the name uncultured bacterium. Its description in RNAcentral is "partial 16S ribosomal RNA". It matches the Rfam family "Bacterial small subunit ribosomal RNA", at positions 524 to 776 of the family's 1533-position model. The record is from RNAcentral.